Molecule: ribosomal RNA, 3161 nt
Filed under: Streptomyces albus
Lineage: Bacteria; Bacillati; Actinomycetota; Actinomycetes; Kitasatosporales; Streptomycetaceae
Description: 23S ribosomal RNA
Rfam family: Bacterial large subunit ribosomal RNA
Source: RNAcentral
ACAGUGGACGCGAGCAUCUGUGGCCAAGUUUUUAAGGGCGCACGGUGGAUGCCUUGGCACCAGGAACCGAUGAAGGACGUGGGAGGCCGCGAUAGGCCCCGGGGAGUUGUCAACCGAGCUGUGAUCCGGGGGUGUCCGAAUGGGGGAACCCGGCAGUCGUCAUGGGCUGUCACCUGCCGCUGAAUGUAUAGGCGGUGUGGAGGGAACGCGGGGAAGUGAAACAUCUCAGUACCCGUAGGAAGAGAAAACAACCGUGAUUCCGGGAGUAGUGGUGAGCGAAACCGGAGGAGGCUAAACCGUAUGUGUGUGAGACCCGGCAGGGGUUGCGCAUGCGGGGUUGUGGGAGCUCACUUCAGUCGUCUGCCGGCGGCUGGGCGAGUCAGAAAUUGUGGGUGUAGGCGAAGGGCAUGCGAAAGGCCUGGCGUAGAGGUAAGACCCCGUAGCUGAAACAUCUGCAACUCGCUUGUGGGUUUCCCAAGUAGCAUGGGGCCGAAAUCCUGUGUGAAUCUGGCGGGACCACCCGUCAAGCCUAAAUAUUCCCUGGUGACCGAUAGCGGAUAGUACCGUGAGGGAAUGGUGAAAAGUACCGCGGGAGCGGAGUGAAAGAGUACCUGAAACCGUGUGCCUACAAGCCGUGGGAGCGUCGCACUGCAUGCUUGCAUGUGGUGUCGUGACUGCGUGCCUUUUGAAGAAUGAGCCUGCGAGUUUGCGGCAUGUUGCGAGGUUAACCCGUGUGGGGGAGCCGUAGCGAAAGCGAGUCCGAAGAGGGCGUUGAGUAGCGUGUUCAAGACCCGAAGCGGGGUGAUCUAGCCAUGGGCAGGGUGAAGCGGCUGUAAGAGGUCGUGGAGGCCCGAACCCACCAGGGUUGAAAACCUGGGGGAUGACCUGUGGUUAGGGGUGAAAGGCCAAUCAAACUCCGUGAUAGCUGGUUCUCCCCGAAAUGCAUUUAGGUGCAGCGUCGUGUGUUUCUUGCCGGAGGUAGAGCACUGGAUAGGCGAUGGGCCUUACCGGGUUACUGACCUUAGCCAAACUCCGAAUGCCGGUAAGUGAGAGCGCGGCAGUGAGACUGUGGGGGAUAAGCUCCAUGGUCGAGAGGGAAACAGCCCAGAGCAUCGACUAAGGCCCCUAAGCGUGUGCUAAGUGGGAAAGGAUGUGGAGUCGCAGAGACAACCAGGAGGUUGGCUUAGAAGCAGCCAUCCUUGAAAGAGUGCGUAAUAGCUCACUGGUCAAGUGAUUCUGCGCCGAUAAUGUAGCGGGGCUCAAGUACACCGCCGAAGUCGUGUCACUCCAGCAGUACUCCUAACGGGGGCUGGGGUGGGUAGGGGAGCGUCGUGUGCCGGGUGAAGCAGCCGUGGAAGCGAGUUGUGGACGGUUCACGAGUGAGAAUGCAGGCAUGAGUAGCGAUACAUGCGUGAGAAACGUGUGCGCCGAUUGACUAAGGGUUCCUGGGUCAAGCUGAUCUGCCCAGGGUAAGUCGGGACCUAAGGCGAGGCCGACAGGCGUAGUCGAUGGAGAACCGGUUGAUAUUCCGGUACCCGCUAUGCAGCGUCAAACAUCGAAUCAGGUGAUGCUAAGUCCGUGAUACCGCUUGUGCCGGCUUUGCCGGUGCGGGUUUGGUGGAGCCGACGGCCCGAGCUUGUAGUAGGUGAGUGAUGGGGUGACGCAGUGAGGUAGUCCAGCCCGGGUGAUGGUUGUCCCGGGGUAAGGGUGUAGCCCGGUGUGCAGGUAAAUCCGUGCGCCGUUACAGGGUGAGACCUGAUGCCGAGCCGUUUGUGGUGAAGUGGGUGAUCCUGUGCUGUCGAGAAAAGCCUCUAGCGAGUUGUGUGGCGGCCCGUACCCUAAACCGACUCAGGUGGUCUGGUAGAGAAUACCGAGGCGUUCGGGUGAACUAUGGUUAAGGAACUCGGCAAAAUGCCCCCGUAACUUCGGGAGAAGGGGGGCCUCCUCUGGUGAUCCAGCGUGCUUGGUGAGCUGGGGGUGGCCGCAGAGACCAGCGAGAAGCGACUGUUUACUAAAAACACAGGUCCGUGCGAAGCCGUAAGGCGAUGUAUACGGACUGACGCCUGCCAGUGCUGGAACGUUAAGGGGACCGGUUAGCUCCAUUUCGGUGGGGUGAAGCUGAGAACUUAAGCGCCAGUAAACGGCGGUGGUAACUAUAACCAUCCUAAGGUAGCGAAAUUCCUUGUCGGGUAAGUUCCGACCUGCACGAAUGGCGUAACGACUUCUUGACUGUCUCAACCAUAGGCCCGCAGUACGAGUAAAGAUGCUCGUUUCGCGCAGCAGGACGAGUAAAGAUGCUCGUUUCGCGCAGCAGGACGGAAAGACCCCGGACCUUUACUACAGCUUGAUAUUGGUGUUCGGUUCGGCUUGUGUAGGAUAGGUGGGAGACUGUGAAGCGGGCACGCCAGUGUUCGUGGAGUCGUUGUUGAAAUACCACUCUGGUCGUGCUGGAUGUCUAACCUGGGUCCGUGAUCCGGAUCGGGGACAGUGUCUGGUGGGUAGUUUAACUGGGGCGGUUGCCUCCUAAAGGGUAACGGAGGCGCCCAAAGGUUCCCUCAGCCUGGUUGGUCAUCAGGUGGUGAGUGUAAGUGCACAAGGGAGCUUGACUGUGAGACUGACGGGUCGAGCAGGGACGAAAGUCGGGACUAGUGAUCCGGCGGUGGCUUGUGGAAGCGCCGUCGCUCAACGGAUAAAAGGUACCCCGGGGAUAACAGGCUGAUCUUCCCAAGAGUCCAUAUCGACGGGAUGGUUUGGCACCUCGAUGUCGGCUCGUCGCAUCCUGGGGCUGGAGUCGGUCCCAAGGGUUGGGCUGUUCGCCCAUUAAAGCGGUACGCGAGCUGGGUUUAGAACGUCGUGAGACAGUUCGGUCCCUAUCCGCUGCGCGCGUUGGAGUCUUGAGAAGGGCUGUCCCUAGUACGAGAGGACCGGGACGGACGGACCUCUGGUGUGCCAGUUGUUCUGCCAAGGGCAUGGCUGGUUGGCUACGUUCGGGAAGGAUAACCGCUGAAAGCAUCUAAGCGGGAAGCCUGCUUCGAGAUGAGGACUCCCGCCCCCUUUGAGGGGUUAAGGCUCCCUGGAGAUGACGGGGUUGAUAGGCCGGAUCUGGAAGCACGGUAACGUGUGGAGGUGACCGGUACUAAUAGGCCGAGGGCUUGUCCGUA